UACAACUAUUGGCAACGGAUCUCUUGGCUCACGCAUCGAUGAAGAACGCAGCGAAAUGCGAUAAGUAAUGUGAAUUGCAGAUUUCAGUGAAUCAUCGAAUCUUUGAACGCACCUUGCACCCUUUGGUAUUCCGAAGGGUACACCUGUUUGAGUGUCAUUAUUAUUCUCAAC
RNAcentral lists this ribosomal RNA (171 nucleotides) under Halocyphina villosa. Its description in RNAcentral is "5.8S ribosomal RNA". It matches the Rfam family "5.8S ribosomal RNA". Rfam says of the family: 5.8S ribosomal RNA (5.8S rRNA) is a component of the large subunit of the eukaryotic ribosome. It is transcribed by RNA polymerase I as part of the 45S precursor that also contains 18S and 28S rRNA. Functionally, it is thought that 5.8S rRNA may be involved in ribosome translocation. Lineage: Eukaryota; Fungi; Basidiomycota; Agaricomycetes; Agaricales; Niaceae. The record is from RNAcentral.